This 279-nucleotide unclassified non-coding RNA is filed under the name plant metagenome. RNAcentral describes it as "partial contains small subunit ribosomal RNA, internal transcribed spacer 1, and 5.8S ribosomal RNA". The record is from RNAcentral.
UCUCCGUUGGUGAACCAGCGGAGGGAUCAUUACCGAGUUUACAACUCCCAAAACCAAUGUGAAACAUAACAAACUGUUGCCUCGGCGGGGUCACGCCCCGGGGCGUCGCAGCCCCGGAACCCGGGGCCCGCCGGGGGGGCCCACCGAAAGCCUUCUGUAGUUCCCUCGCGGACGGUCUUUUUAAAUCUCUGGGACAAAAUUUAAAAAGACUAAAAACUUUCAACAACGGGUCUCUUGGUUCUGGGAUGGAAGAAGAAGGCAGGAAAAGGGUACAGCAAA